AGAUAAGUUGGAAGUGAAAUCCUAUGGCUUAACCAUAGAACUGCUUCCAAAACUGUCUAUCUAGAAUAUGGGAGAGGUAGAUGGAAUUUCUGGUGUAGGGGUAAAAUCCGUAGAGAUCAGAAGGAAUACCGAUUGCGAAGGCGAUCUACUGGAACAUUAUUGACGCUCAGAUGCGAAAGCGUGGGGAGCAAACAGGAUUAGAUACCCUGGUAGUCCACGCCCUAAACGAUGCACACUAGUUGUUGCCUUGCUAGACAAGGCAGUAAUGCAGUUAACACAGUAAGUGUGCCGCCUGGGGAGUACGGUCGCAAGAUUAAAACUCAAAGGAAUAGACGGGGACCCGCACAAGCGGUGGAGCAUGUGGUUUAAUUCGACGAUACGCGAAGAACCUUACCUGGCCUUGACAUAGAGAGAACUUACUAGAGAUAGUUUGGUGCUAGCUUGCUAGAACUUUCAUACAGGUGCUGCACGGCUGUCGUCAGCUCGUGUCGUGAGAUGUUGGGUUAAGUCCCGCAACGAGCGCAACCCUCGUGUUUAGUUAAUAACGGUUCGGCCGAUGACUCUAAACAGACUGCCUGGGUAACCAGGAGGAAGGUGAGGACGACGUCAAGUCAUCAUGGCCCUUACGGCCAGGGCUACACACGUGCUACAAUGGGGUAUACAAAGAGCAGCGAUACCGCAAGGUGGAGCAAAUCUCAUAAAAUAU
RNAcentral lists this ribosomal RNA (706 nucleotides) under uncultured bacterium. Its description in RNAcentral is "bacterial SSU rRNA". It matches the Rfam family "Bacterial small subunit ribosomal RNA", at positions 581 to 1284 of the family's 1533-position model. The record is from RNAcentral.